This 104-nucleotide small nucleolar RNA is filed under the name Tolypocladium ophioglossoides CBS 100239. Its description in RNAcentral is "A. fumigatus snoRNA Afu_304". It matches the Rfam family "A. fumigatus snoRNA Afu_304". The record is from Rfam by way of RNAcentral. Lineage: Eukaryota; Fungi; Ascomycota; Sordariomycetes; Hypocreales; Ophiocordycipitaceae.
UUGCGUGAUGACAAAAGGCCAUUGGCCUGAUCUAAUCCCAGCUCUUCGAAUGCCUCACCAAAACAACGCAGAGUGCAUCCUGAGAUAAAAUCCUACCUGACAGC